CAAUCACAAACACAAAGUUUUAUAGUAGUUCGGAGCUAACCCUUGCUCCUACGUCCACUCCCCAAGUCUCACUUGGGAAUUUCACUAUAAUCCCUUGGAUUACAGCCGGUUGUUUUCCAAGCUCACAACCAAACUUGUUGUUUUACGAGCUCACAACGAACUCGGUCGGUUUUUUCAGGCUCACCGACUAGAACCACCCCGAUUGUUUUCCCGG
RNAcentral lists this long non-coding RNA (214 nucleotides) under Phoenix dactylifera (date palm). RNAcentral describes it as "long non-coding RNA (PDAC_LNC011656)". The record is from RNAcentral. Lineage: Eukaryota; Viridiplantae; Streptophyta; Magnoliopsida; Arecales; Arecaceae.